This 258-nucleotide ribosomal RNA is filed under the name uncultured bacterium. RNAcentral describes it as "partial 16S ribosomal RNA". It matches the Rfam family "Bacterial small subunit ribosomal RNA", at positions 77 to 334 of the family's 1533-position model. The record is from RNAcentral.
CUUGCUGGGUUGGAUGAGUGGCGAACGGGUGAGUAACACGUGAGUAACCUGCCCUCUUCUUUGGGAUAACGGUCGGAAACGGCUGCUAAUACCGGGUAUUCACUGUCCUUCGCAUGGGGGGUGGUGGAAAGGUUUUUUCUGGUGGGGGAUGGGCUCGCGGCCUAUCAGCUUGUUGGUGGGGUGAUGGCUUACCAAGGCUUUGACGGGUAACCGGCCUGAGAGGGUGACCGGUCACAUUGGGACUGGGAUACGGCCCAG